AUUGAACGCUGGCGGCAGGCCUAACACAUGCAAGUCGAACGGUAGCACAGAGAGCUUGCUCUCGGGUGACGAGUGGCGGACGGGUGAGUAAUGUCUGGGAAACUGCCCGAUGGAGGGGGAUAACUACUGGAAACGGUAGCUAAUACCGCAUAACGUCGCAAGACCAAAGUGGGGGACCUUCGGGCCUCACACCAUCGGAUGUGCCCAGAUGGGUUUAGCUAGUAGGUGGGGUAAUGGCUCACCUAGGCGACGAUCCCUAGCUGGUCUGUGAGGAUGACCCGCCACACUGGAACUGAGACACGGUCCAGACUCCUACGGGAGGCAGCAGUGGGGAAUAGUGCACAAUGGGCGCAAGCCUGAUGCAGCCAUGCCGCGUGUAUGAAGAAGGCCUUCGGGUUGUAAAGUACUUUCAGCGGGGAGGAAGGCGGUGAAGUUAAUAACUUCACCGAUUGACGUUACCCGCAGAAGAAGCACCGGCUAACUCCGUGCCAGCAGCCGCGGUAA
This 504-nucleotide ribosomal RNA is filed under the name uncultured bacterium. RNAcentral describes it as "partial 16S ribosomal RNA". It matches the Rfam family "Bacterial small subunit ribosomal RNA", at positions 30 to 523 of the family's 1533-position model. The record is from RNAcentral.